CUCUCGACCCCAAAGUCGCUUGGUGGUAUGGGUUUUCGGGAUAUGGUGUUGUUCAAUCAGGCAAUGCUUGGUAAGCAGAGAUGGCGGCUCUUCACUUAACCUGAUUCGCUUUGUGCUCGUGUUCUGAAGGGCAGAUACUUUCCGACAGGGGACUUUUGGAACACCACGAUGCCACGAACUGCCUCGGCGACCUGGCGUGGUAUCCUAAAUGGC
Molecule: ribosomal RNA, 213 nt
Filed under: Triticum aestivum (bread wheat)
Lineage: Eukaryota; Viridiplantae; Streptophyta; Magnoliopsida; Poales; Poaceae
Description: partial small subunit ribosomal RNA
Source: RNAcentral